Molecule: ribosomal RNA, 497 nt
Filed under: uncultured bacterium
Lineage: Bacteria
Description: partial 16S ribosomal RNA
Rfam family: Bacterial small subunit ribosomal RNA
Source: RNAcentral
GAUGAACGCUGGCGGCGUGCCUAAUACAUGCAAGUCGAGCGAACAGAUGAGGAGCUUGCUCCUCUGACGUUAGCGGCGGACGGGUGAGUAACACGUGGAUAACCUACCUAUAAGACUGGGAUAACUUCUGGAAACCGCAUCUAAUACCGGAUAAUAUAUUGAACCACAUGGUUCAAUAGUGGAAGACGGUUUUGCUGUCACUUAUAGAUCGAUCCGCUGCGCAUUAGCUAGUUGGUAAGGUAACGGCUUACCAAGGCAACGAUGCGUAGCCGAACUGAGAGGGUGAUCGGCCAGACUGGAACUGAGAAACGGUCCAGACUGCUACGGGAGGCAGCCGUAGGGAAUCUUCCGCAAUGGGCGAAAGACUGACGGAGCAACGCCGAGUGAGUGAUGAAGGUCUUCGGAUCGUAAAACUCUGUUAUUAGGGAAGAACAAAUGUGUAAGUAACUAUGCACGUCUUGACGGUAACUAAUCAGAAAGCCACGGCUAACUAAGUG